AAAGAUGAAAGAAUGGCACUUCUGUGUAGGCAGCAGUGAGGCGGAACCUUUGUUUGUUCUGGUUGCACCUGGGACCGGUGUGAGGAGACACACCCCGUGCUCUCUUCAGAAGCAAUCUGGAGAGAAACGCGGUGCAGUGAGACUUCAUUGUUCCUGCUUUAUUCACCUGAUACAGGGCCCCUCCCUGAACCACCAUUAUUGUCUCUUGGUAAAGGACUGAAAAGGCUCAGACUGCAACCACUGAUAUCCUCAAUGCUGCAUGGCUUGUCUGAGCUCUCCAUGGUUGACUUCAGCAAAACCGAAAGACGUCUCAACUAGAUCGUCGGCAAUAAGUUCCUCAUCAGAGGAC
Molecule: long non-coding RNA, 349 nt
Organism: Acanthochromis polyacanthus (spiny chromis)
Lineage: Eukaryota; Metazoa; Chordata; Actinopteri; Pomacentridae
Exons: 3
Source: RefSeq, a predicted model, not a curated record